CAAAUUUAUUUAUUUUCAAUUGGUCAUUAAUGAAAAGAAGCAACUUCUAUGAGAAGUUACAUUAAUGCUAGCUAAUAUCUAAUGAAUUCAUCUGCUUUCAUUAUCUAUUAGAUAUUUUUUCAAAUGACCAUGUAAAGGCAGACAUUUUUUGCAAUUUUUUCUAUUGAAAAUAAUGGGGAUCAAAUAAGGGCUAAAAUUAAAUAGCAUUAACAGUUACAAAAACAACAUUUCUUCAUUAUGUCUUGAAUAAGUAGAAUAUAAAGACAAUUUCAACCCCAAAUUGGAAUAUUAGACAAUGAUUCCACCUUCUGUAUGCGAUGAAGAGAGGUAUUAGUUGCUGUCACCUCCAAAAAGGUAUCCCAGGGAAGAUCCACCACCAGGAGCAGCAUGGAUUUUCGUACACGGUCGAUCCUGUCAAGAAAGGAUCCCGUUAUAUUCGACCUCCACUUCUUGUUGUUAGGAUAGAGAAAACAAGAAAUCAAAUGCAAUUCAACAUCUGAAUGAGUUCGAAAUUUCACAAAUCAAACAAUGGCAAAUCAGCCUUGUGCUCUCCCACUUUACAAACAGUUCUAGAUAGCCAUGUGAUCACCGAGCAACCCUUCAAUUUAAAUCAUCAUGAUAAAGAAGUUGCAGAAGUAGGGAAAGACAUGCAAUUUAAAUCAUCAUGGUCUUCAAAAAUGAGCAGAAUUUUAAAACAACAAAUGUUCCGAAACAAUGUUGGUACUUGGAAUUGACUGAAGAUCUCAUUAACAAGAGUUAAGUCCCUUGUACAGGGUGGUUUGCCAGGCAGAAUGCUAGGUGGUAGCACUGCAUUUGAUGUUGGGCAAAAAACAAAUUUAAACGAAAUUGCAAUUUGUACCCGUUACCCGUCCCUCACAUGGGAGGCAGGGCCCGCGCAAAAUAAAUGUGUGGGACCCACCCCCCCCAUGUGAGUGGCGUGUAAACGCCCGGGUACAUGUAGCAAAGCCCAAUUUAAACAUACCAACACAGUGCUGCCAGGCAUUAUGUCAAACUGCAUGGCAAACCCCCUUAUACAUGUAGCAUGAUUCCAUUAAAAAGGAAUCACCCUCUUCACCAUUUGCACAUCAGCACAUGCAUGGGUAUGUUUAGCAAUCAUCUGUAGAUACAAACAUGCAUUUGCACCCACACAAAAUGUGUUUAAAAAGAAUAAAACGCGUGCUCAGGCCUUUUUCUAGCUUCAGUGCAAACCAAAAGAAAAACAGAAGUACUAAAAAAAAUUUACUAUUUAACACCAAAGUGAUCCAACAAUUUACCAGUCACCACAUUAUUAAUUGUGAUUUGAUGUAACUGAAUAUGAUAAUUGAAGGAAUCAUUUUCUAUCUUUUUGUACUUUUUUACGCUACUCCUUCACACAGCGUUUCCACUGACUAAUCAAAUCAAAAACUCAAACUAACAAAAAUUUACUAUUUAACUCUAAAUUGAUCCACACAUUUACCAGAUCAUUGAAGGCAAUUAAAUAAACAAACAAGCAACAAGAAACGGAAACCACCGAGUAACGUCGGAGUCAAACUUUUGCUUGCACAUAAAAACCAGAAUCAAAAUAUCGAUCUGUGAACAAAAACAAUGAAACAAACAGCAAUGUAAAGUAAAUAAUUUCAAAAAAUGUGGAGAUAGGAAAGGACUUACCAGUGUUCUUAGAGUUCAGAUCUGAGCU
This 1675-nucleotide long non-coding RNA is filed under the name Olea europaea (common olive). RNAcentral describes it as "long non-coding RNA (OEUR_LNC011951)". The record is from RNAcentral. Lineage: Eukaryota; Viridiplantae; Streptophyta; Magnoliopsida; Lamiales; Oleaceae.